AGUAGCAUGGCAGACGGGUGAGGAGCACGUACCUGACCUGACACACGGAGGGGGAUAGUCCCCCGAAAGGGGGUUGAAUACCGCGUACGCUCGUCAAGGCAGCUUGAUGAGGAGAGGUGGCCUCUGCAUGCACGCUAUCGCCGUGUGAGGGGGGUGCGUCCUAUUAGCUGGCUGGUGGGGUAAUGGCCUACCAGGUCGACGAUGGGUCGCUGGUCUGAGAGGAUGAUCAGCCACACUGGGACUGAGACACGGCCCAGACUCCUACGGGAGGCAGCAGUGGGGAAUUUUGCGCAAUGGGGGGAACCCUGACGCAGCACCGCCGUGUGAGUGACGACGCCGUUCGCGGUGUAAAGCUCUGUGAGGCGGGACGAAGGCUCCGGGUGAAGAACCUGCGAGGGUGACGGUACCGCCACAGCAAGCCCCGGCUAACUCCGUGCCAGCAGCCGCCGGUAAGACGGAGGGGGCGAGCGUUGUUCGGAAUUACUGGGCGUAAAGCGCCCGCAGGCGGUGACGUGAGU
RNAcentral lists this ribosomal RNA (518 nucleotides) under uncultured organism. RNAcentral describes it as "bacterial SSU rRNA". It matches the Rfam family "Bacterial small subunit ribosomal RNA", at positions 89 to 588 of the family's 1533-position model. The record is from RNAcentral.